GACGAACGCUGGCGGCGUGCUUAACACAUGCAAGUCGAACGGAAAGGCCCUGCUUUUGUGGGGUGCUCGAGUGGCGAACGGGUGAGUAACACGUGAGUAACCUGUCCUUGACUUUGGGAUAACUUCAGGAAACUGGGGCUAAUACCGGAUAGGAGCUCCUGCUGCAUGGUGGGGGUUGGAAAGUUUCGGCGGUUGGGGAUGGACUCGCGGCUUAUCAGCUUGUUGGUGGGGUAGUGGCUUACCAAGGCUUUGACGGGUAGCCGGCCUGCGAGGGUGACUGGCCACAUUGGGACUGAGAUACGGCCCAGACGCCUACGGGAGGCAGCAGUGGGGAAUAUUGCACAAUGGGCGGAAGCCUGAUGCGGCAACGCCGCGUGCGGGAAGACGGCCUUCGAGUUGUAAACCGCUUUCGCCUGUGACGAAGCGUGAGUGACGGUAAUGGGUAAAGAAGCACCGGCUAACUACGUG
RNAcentral lists this ribosomal RNA (468 nucleotides) under uncultured bacterium. RNAcentral describes it as "partial 16S ribosomal RNA". It matches the Rfam family "Bacterial small subunit ribosomal RNA", at positions 28 to 507 of the family's 1533-position model. The record is from RNAcentral.